GGUGAUAAUGAUGAGGUUGAGGAGGAGAUACAGGAUGAUGUAGAUAAAACGCAAGGAGAAGAAUCUAGACGUGAUGAUGAUGGAGAGACAAGGAGCACGACGAGUGAGGUUCAGCCCUUCUGUAGGUAUAUGAAAUUGACAUGUUGUUAUAUUUUGUAAUCGUGUGCAAUAUAAUUUUCCAAGAAGAUAAGCUCAAUCUAAACACCCAGAGACAAUCAAUCUGGUGUUUAUUAAGGUUCCAAGAAAACAAUUGGACUUUAACAGUAAUAGCAAAGUUGCGUUUGUAAGAACAAUUUGUUUCAAGUAAUUCGUUGAUAAACAUACGAAGAUGCAUGAUUGUAUAUUUGGUAAAGGAAUAGCAACAAUCAGCAUUGACUCGACCCAGAACCACUCUCAGUGAGGAUAAUAUUAGGCCUUACUGAUACGAAAAUGCAAUAAUCCAUAUAAUUUAUCAGCUCACGUAACUAUGAACUUAAAACCACGAAAUUGAAUACCUUUAGAGGACGCAAUAGUCCAACCACGGAUGUUGAGUGAAAAGUACAGUUCCACGGUCCACGGAUGGGCCAUCUACGAUAUAUCUCGAUUACCUCAAACUCACACGUUCAGUUGCUUCAGCUCGAAACAUAGUUACAGCAGACGUUGACGGACAGUAACAUUAACAAAACGUAUAUGGUAUUAGUAGCAGUAGCAGUAGAAGCUGCAGGAGUGCUGUGCAGCCAGACCGAGAGAUUUAACAGCGUCCGAGCCUUCCUUGUAGCUGAGAUCCCUCAUUCCAUCACACGGUUGCUCAUUCCUCUCUCUUCUUUGGGCGAGGAGGUUGACUCGAAUCUUGAGCUUCAGGAGAAAAUCGUCACGACAUUGGUCAACAUCUCGAAUAUUGAGGAGAACAGAACAGUAAUGGCGCAAAACCCUCUUGUGAUCUCACUACUUACAAAGUCUUUGAAGCAGGGCAAUGAUGACACAAGAAGAAUCUCUAAACUGACUUAAGGGUCACUUUCACUCGUUGAUUCUAACAAGAUCAUCAUGGGAACUCAGCAGAAACACUCAGGGCUUUGAUAGAUGUUAUCAAAGAGGGUGAUCUCUCAG
This 1086-nucleotide long non-coding RNA is filed under the name Brassica rapa (field mustard). RNAcentral's name for it is "long non-coding RNA (BRAP_LNC007914)". Lineage: Eukaryota; Viridiplantae; Streptophyta; Magnoliopsida; Brassicales; Brassicaceae. The record is from RNAcentral.